CGGCGACGUCUCCACGGCAACAUCCUCCCAGUCCGUCUGUCGAAAAUCCUCACGCUUCGUCACCAGUAAAAGAUGGAAAGCUUUGCUGUGCUCAAAAUUAAAGCUCGGAUUAUAAAACCAAUGAAGGGGAGCAAAAUAUCGCCGUUUAUGAAUUGUUUUUGAGAAGUAACUCAUGGAGGCCCACGAGCUGGUGUGUGGACUGAUGCAGUACAGGAGACAAGCAGCCAAACCUCACAAACGCCUUAUGUCGUGCUCCAGUUCCCGUGACCGUCAUGGAACAUGGACAGUCAGUAGCCAGCCGGUGUGGAGACGAGGCUCAAAGAAAACUGGACAUAUUGUCAGGAAAGUGUGACACGAGGGCCGCUGUGGACAUACGAUCCAUAAAUGUGGUUCCUAAUCAUCCUUUCUGUACUGUGAUCAAUCACUGAAGCUAUGCUGGACCGCUCACUGCCAGUUCAUGAUUAUAUAAUCUCAACUAUGAUGCUCAAAAAAUAGUUUUUCCUAUUCGCUGUAAUUGUGGACAUCUCUAGAGGUUAAUUUCUAGAUAUAGUUCACCUAGAAAUUGAAAUUCUGUCAUCAUUUAGUCACCCUCAUUGUCAUUGCAAACAUAUGAGAAAUUUUGAAAAAUGUACUUACUGUAUUUUUUUUUUUCUGUCGUUACAAUGCUUCAAAAUAGACACAAACAGCAAGUGAAGUCAUUUUUCUGAAGCCAUAUGAUAGCUGUGCAUGAGGAGCAGAAAAUUUUUUUGUGUUCAACAGAGAAAAGAAAGUUAGUCAUACGCAUUUGGAAUAACAUAAGGGUGAGAAAACAUUGACAGAAUUUUAAUUUAUGAGUGAACUAAUCUUUGAAGAAUGUUUGUAGAACCAGAUUUUUUGUUAGUGAUUUGAAAGCUGCAAUUAUCACAUAAACUUAAUGUGUGUUGUGGUAACCAAACGCAAAGUUCCGUCACAAUUUGAGGUGAUUCAAGAUCUCCUGUCACAUUAACAAUGUAAUCUCACUGUGCACUUAAGUAUGGAAAUGAAUCCCAGAUUGCAGCGUUCAACCUGCAUCGCUUUUGAUGAAAAUCAUCUGCUACUUUUUUUUUAACAUGAUUUAUAUGUUUCUUAUUCAAUUUGUUGUUUCUGACCUUAUUACAAUUUGUAAAUGAAUUGCAAAUUAUUGUUUUAGAUGUGACAAGUCAAGUGUAAACCUGUGUAUCCAACUGUGUAUUGAGACUCAUUAAAUAUGCAUAUGCACUGGAACAGAUUUUGAGAAAUUUAGCAUUACAUCACUUGCUCAACAGUGGAUCCACUGCAACAUUAAAAACAUUGCAAUAAUCCACACAUCUCCAUCAGUUAAUGUCUUGUGAAGC
Long non-coding RNA from Cyprinus carpio (common carp), 1352 nucleotides. Lineage: Eukaryota; Metazoa; Chordata; Actinopteri; Cypriniformes; Cyprinidae. The record is from Ensembl.